Molecule: transfer RNA, 64 nt
Filed under: Camelus bactrianus (Bactrian camel)
Lineage: Eukaryota; Metazoa; Chordata; Mammalia; Artiodactyla; Camelidae
Also listed under: 1 other name
Rfam family: tRNA
About the family: Transfer RNA (tRNA) molecules are approximately 80 nucleotides in length. Their secondary structure includes four short double-helical elements and three loops (D, anti-codon, and T loops).
Source: Rfam by way of RNAcentral
GAGGGUAUAGCGGAGCGCGUGCCUAACAUGCACGAGGUCCUGGGUUCGAUCCCCAGUAGCUCCA